AGGUGGGGGGGGCAUGCAAGUCAUCGCUGCGGGCAGCUGGACUCGGCCCUUCCGGGGACCUCACGGAGACUGUGGGACACACCUCAGAUUUGCACCCUGGCACUGUGGGGGGCGAGGGGGGCGGCGUUGUUCACUGACCCCCAUCCAUCUCUGUUAGAACGCUGCUUCCAGGGCAUGAGUUCUCUGGCACUUUGGCCUGGGCGUGCACGUUCCUGCGACCAGAGAAAGCCCUGGGCACAGUGCAGCAGCUUGCGAUAAAAAGCUGUAGGUGGGUGUGGAGGACAGGUGUGUGGGCUCCGACAGCAUCUGCUCCAACAUCCGUGUGGAGGUGUGAGUCCCUGUGAGAGGGAGGGCGAGAGGGGUGCACGUGGAUAACGUGUACAGCUGUGAAACCAGAUGAGAUCGUCACAGAGAGGGCAGUGUAAAAAGAGAAGAAGCCCAAGGACAGAGCACCGGGGCCUCCAGCUGUCAGAGGUCCAGUAAAGAAGGAAGAAUCAGGAAAAGAGACUGAGAAGCCUCGAUCAGAGCCAGGGCCCGGAGGAGAUGAGGGUGGAGGACCCUCCUCACAUGCAAAUCCAUGAGGUCUGAAGAGGCCCUGCCACCCGGGAUUUUGGUGAGGCUCCAGGGCCACCUGAUACCCCCGCCCAUCACCCUCCUUGUGUCGAGGAGAUGCGCCCACAUCAAGGCCCCUCCUUCUGCUCACCCUUUUAAGAAAACCCCAAGAAACAGGGGUCCUGGGGCUUGGGGUGCUAGGCCCAUGUCCCUGCCUGCACCUGGGCCUUCCCUCCUCCAGAACCUAGAUGACUGAGGUGCUGCUGCCUCCCACCCUCCCCGUACCCCUGUUCUGUCCCUCGAUGCCCUGGGCUCCCGCAUGCUGCUGCUGCGGGCAGGGGUCUCUGUCCAUUACCUGCACCCAGAAGGCACCGCCCACCUGAUUUCCCGGGCGGGAGCGGCGGGUCCUCCGCGCAGGCUCGCAGCGCCGCCACAAGGGGGCGCUGCCCCCUUGAAAUGCCGCGGAACUGUCCCUGGAUUUGGGGCAGCCCUGCGGAAAGGAGUUCCAAAACACAGGCGCGCGGAAUUAAGGGUGAGCAAACGGGAAGCUUUGACGGAAGCGACAAACAUCAUAAAAAUGGCCAGGUUCCCAAAGUUCUGGUCUAGUUCUGGACCCCAGAGUUACAUUAAAGAGGCUUAUGUCCUGGGAAGUACCUGCCUAUUGAAAUUUGGUUCUGACAUCUGCCCUAGUCCCCACUUCUGGGUGACCACAUGUGGGACUCCAGCGCCACAGCGUGCAGGUUUGUGGCCUUUUGAGCUCAUCUGGGGACGAGCCUAUUUCCCAAGACACAGCCUUGUAGGGACAGCAAAGAAUAAAUAGGGGAGAAGAAGGCUUUGAAAUCAGCAAAUUCCUUCCCUAGUAAGAAUCCACAUGAGUGAGUCAUCCAGCCUCUCUGAGGCUAUUCUGUGAUAGAGAUAACAGUGCCUCCUGGAGGGGUCGUUGGGACCAUCAGAGGCAAUGAUGCUGCUCCCACCCCACCCCCAGACAGCUGAGCCCUCUCCGUCCUCCACACCCCACUGGUACACUGCUGCCUUCUGAAACCACUGUCCAACUGAGAAAACAAAUACAUAAAACAAACAAACCAGGUACCACUCCACAUCCACUAGAAUGGCUAUAAUCUUUUUUAAAGGGGGAAAAAAAAAAGCAAGUGUUGGGGAGGCUGCGCGGAAGUUGGAACCCUUGUGCGCUGCUGGUGGGGAUGUAAAGUGGGGCAGCCACUGAGGAACAGUCUAGUCAUUCCCCAGAAAGUUACACAUAGCAUUGCCAUUCCACUCCUUGGCAAUAUGCCCAAGAGAACUGAAAAUAUACGUUUGAGCAAAAUCUGGUCCACAUAUGCUCAUAGCGUCAUCCAAAAAGUAGAAACAACCCAAAUGCCCAUCAGCUGAUGAAUGGAUACAAAAAUUGUGGCAUAGUGGACUUCCCUGGUGGCGCAGUGGAUGGGAAUCUGUGCUCCCAAUGCGGGGGGCCCCGGUUCAAUCCCUGGCCAGGGAAUUAGAGCCCACACGCAUGAGAGCCGCAGCUGAGAGAUCGCAUGCCACAACUAAGGAGCCCAUGAGCCACAACCAGGGAGCCCACAUGCUGCAACUAAAGAGCCCGCCUGCCACAACUAAGACCCCACACAACCAAAUAAAUAAAUAAAUUUUUUUAAUUGUGGCAUAUGUACCCAAUGGAAUAUUAUUCAGCCAUAAACGAAAUGAAGCACUGAUGCAGGCCACAACAUGGAUGUAUCUUGAAAACAUGCUGAUGCAGGCUACAACAUGGAUGUAUCUUGAAAACAUGGAAGAAACCAGUCACAAAAGGUCACUUAUUGUACGAGUCCAUUUUAUGAAAUGUCCAGAAGAGGCAGCUCCAUGGAGAUGAAAAUAGAUGAGUGGUUGCCAGGGGUACAGGAGAGGAUAACAGGGAAUGACCGUGUAACGGGUGUGGGGUUUCCUCUUGGUGUGAUGAAGAUGGCUGGUGGCACAACACUGUGAAUGCAGUAAAUGCCACCAAACUGUUCCCUUUAACAUCAUUAACUUUACAUUAUGUGAAUUUAAUCUCAAUAAAAUAAGUAA
Long non-coding RNA from Orcinus orca (killer whale), 2607 nucleotides. RefSeq lists it as uncharacterized. The record is from RefSeq and is a predicted model, not a curated record. The transcript is spliced from 2 exons. NCBI's taxonomy places the organism in Eukaryota, Metazoa, Chordata, Mammalia, Artiodactyla, Delphinidae.